GCGGGAGUGGUGGAAUUGGCAGACACGCAGGAUUUAGGUUCCUGUGCUGAAAGGCGUGUGGGUUCAAGUCCCACCUUCCGCA
RNAcentral lists this transfer RNA (82 nucleotides) under Microbacterium sp. TNHR37B. It matches the Rfam family "tRNA". From Rfam's summary of the family: Transfer RNA (tRNA) molecules are approximately 80 nucleotides in length. The record is from Rfam by way of RNAcentral. Lineage: Bacteria; Bacillati; Actinomycetota; Actinomycetes; Micrococcales; Microbacteriaceae.